AAAAGCUAACAGUGAUGUGAGAAUGCUUUAUAGAACUGGGGUAGUUUGUCAGCUGGCCAGGUGAUGAAUCAUGGAAUAGAAUUCUUUCUGUGACCAAAUUAAACCCUAAUCCCAUGAAGAAAGCCCUCAUUGACAACUUCUGGCAAGGGAAUCCUGUCUGAAUAGCAGAAUUGGAGUGGAGGGUGACAUUUGCAGGUGCAAAGAGCCUCAUUAUAUUUUGGUUUGUUAAAAAAAAAAAAAAAAAGAAGAAGAAGAAAGUGAUCAUCACCAGCAAGGGCAGGUGGAAUCAAGCAGACACCAGAAUCUGCCUCCCUAUCUCUAAUGUGUAAGGAAAAACAAGGAAAACACCUUUAAAAUAAAACAAUUCUAUUGGAUCAGCACCUUCUUUGGUGAAGUUCAAAGAAAUUUCCCAGG
This is a long non-coding RNA of Piliocolobus tephrosceles (Ugandan red Colobus), 414 nucleotides long. RefSeq lists it as uncharacterized. The transcript is spliced from 3 exons. The record is from RefSeq and is a predicted model, not a curated record. NCBI's taxonomy places the organism in Eukaryota, Metazoa, Chordata, Mammalia, Primates, Cercopithecidae.